CCUACGGGAGGCAGCAGUAGGGAAUAUUGCUCAAUGGGGGAAACCCUGAAGCAGCAACGCCGCGUGGAGGAUGAAGGUUUUCGGAUUGUAAACUCCUUUUGUUAGAGAAGAUAAUGACGGUAUCUAACGAAUAAGCACCGGCUAACUCCGUGCCAGCAGCCGAGGGAAUACGGAGGGUGCAAGCGUUACUCGGAAUCACUGGGCGUAAUGAGCGCGUAUGCGGGAUAGCAAGUCAGAUGUUAAAUCCUAUGGCUUAACCAUAGAACUGCAGUUGAAACUGUGAGUCUAGAGUAUGGGAGAGGUAGGUGGAAUGCGUGGUGUAGGGGUAAAAUCCGUAGAGAUCAAGAGGAAUACUCAUUGCGAAGGCGACCUGCUAGAACAAAACUGACGCUGAUGCGCGAAAGCGUGGGGAGCAAACAGGAUUAGAUACCCGUGUAGUC
Molecule: ribosomal RNA, 440 nt
Filed under: uncultured bacterium
Lineage: Bacteria
Description: partial 16S ribosomal RNA
Rfam family: Bacterial small subunit ribosomal RNA
Source: RNAcentral